UGGGGAAUUUUGGACAAUGGGCGAAAGCCUGAUCCAGCAAUGCCGCGUGUGUGAAGAAGGCCUUCGGGUUGUAAAGCACUUUUGUCCGGAAAGAAAUCCUUGGCUCUAAUACAGUCGGGGGAUGACGGUACCGGAAGAAUAAGCACCGGCUAACUACGUGCCAGCAGCCGCGGUAAUACGUAGGGUGCAAGCGUUAAUCGGAAUUACUGGGCGUAAAGCGUGCGCAGGCGGUUUGCUAAGACCGAUGUGAAAUCCCCGGGCUCAACCUGGGAACUGCAGGUGACUGGCAGGCUAGAGUAUGGCAGAGGGGGGUAGAAUUCCACGUGUAGCAGUGAAAUGCGUAGAGAUGUGGAGGAAUACCGAUGGCGAAGGCAGCCCCCUGGGCCAAUACUGACGCUCAUGCACGAAAGCGUGGGGAGCAAACAGGAUUAGAUACCCUGGUAGUCCACGCCCUAAACGAUGUCAACUAGUUGUUGGGGAUUCAUUCCUUAGUAACGUAGCUAACGCGUGAAGUUGACCGCCUGGGGAGUACGGUCGCAAGAUUAAAACUUAAAUGAAUUGACGGGGUCAUAGCUGUUUCCU
RNAcentral lists this ribosomal RNA (582 nucleotides) under uncultured bacterium. Its description in RNAcentral is "partial 16S ribosomal RNA". It matches the Rfam family "Bacterial small subunit ribosomal RNA", at positions 355 to 1375 of the family's 1533-position model. The record is from RNAcentral.